UACGUAGGGUGCAAGCGUUGUCCGGAAUUAUUGGGCGUAAAGAGCUCGUAGGCGGUCUGUUACGUCGGAUGUGAAAACCCGAGGCUUAACCUCGGGCCUGCAUUCGAUACUGGAUAGCUAGAGUUCGGCAGAGGGAAGCGGAAUUUCUGGUGUAGCGGUGAAAUGCGUAGAUAUCAGAAGGAACAUCAGUGGCGAAAGCGGCUUCCUGGACCAGAACUGACGAUCAGGCUCGAAAGCGUGGGGAGCAAACAGG
RNAcentral lists this ribosomal RNA (253 nucleotides) under uncultured bacterium. RNAcentral's name for it is "partial 16S ribosomal RNA". It matches the Rfam family "Bacterial small subunit ribosomal RNA", at positions 524 to 776 of the family's 1533-position model. The record is from RNAcentral.